RNAcentral lists this ribosomal RNA (375 nucleotides) under uncultured bacterium. Its description in RNAcentral is "bacterial SSU rRNA". It matches the Rfam family "Bacterial small subunit ribosomal RNA", at positions 524 to 898 of the family's 1533-position model. The record is from RNAcentral.
UACGGAGGGUGCAAGCGUUAAUCGGAAUUACUGGGCGUAAAGCGCACGCAGGCGGUCUGUCAAGUCGGAUGUGAAAUCCCCGGGCUCAACCUGGGAACUGCAUUCGAAACUGGCAGGCUAGAGUCUUGUAGAGGGGGGUAGAAUUCCAGGUGUAGCGGUGAAAUGCGUAGAGAUCUGGAGGAAUACCGGUGGCGAAGGCGGCCCCCUGGACAAAGACUGACGCUCAGGUGCGAAAGCGUGGGGAGCAAACAGGAUUAGAUACCCUGGUAGUCCACGCCGUAAACGAUGUGGAUUUGGAGGUGGUGCCCUUGAGGCGUGGCUUCCGGAGCUAACGCGUUAAAUAGACCGCCUGGGGAGUACGGCCGCAAGGUUAAA